Polypterus senegalus (gray bichir) is the source of this 691-nucleotide long non-coding RNA. RefSeq lists it as uncharacterized. The transcript is spliced from 3 exons. The record is from RefSeq and is a predicted model, not a curated record. NCBI's taxonomy places the organism in Eukaryota, Metazoa, Chordata, Cladistia, Polypteriformes, Polypteridae.
CAACUCUCACGCACGCGCAGAGGAGCUCACAGUGCCAGCUUGCUGUUUUAGUCUUCCAGUAUUCCAGGUGCCCGGCCCAGACACAGAAGAAGACCCGAAUCCAUAUAGACGAGGUAACAGUGCAGUAGAUUUACAGUGCACGCAGGGCCAAAGGGCUCGGAGAGCAUUGAUCUUAGAGUACUGAGAAAAGCGCUAUAUAAAUGUAAUGAAUUAUUAUUAUUAUUAUUAUUAUCUAUAAAACCGUUCAUAAUGUAGUUUAUCAAUCUGCGAAUUUCAUUUUGAUGGUGAUUAUUACUAAUGUUACUGUGGACCGAUUGCCUCACCCAGUAAUGUAAUAACCCCGGAGUGAUGGCAUGUAGAAGGUUAUUUCCACUUCACAACAAGUCCUGCAAGGAUUGAUGGCAUUCCUGUGGAUCCCCAGCCUCACUCAAAUUAGAGGAAUGCCUUCUUGUUGCAACAUGGUCACUGCACAUGUAUCAAUUGGAAACAAGAGGGUUCAAGGAGUGAAAAGACUCCCACUGAGGGCAACUAACUCCAACAUUAAUAGCUGCAGAACUAUAAGAGCACAGACACUUCCAAGAAUCCUCCGGACCUAAACUGCAAACAGUUUUCAAAGAAGACCUGUUGAUUCUCGUUAAAGACUCCACAAAGACUCAUCUUUAGUUUAUUUAAAAUACCUCUGUAUACGACA